Molecule: long non-coding RNA, 575 nt
Organism: Symphalangus syndactylus (siamang)
Lineage: Eukaryota; Metazoa; Chordata; Mammalia; Primates; Hylobatidae
Source: RefSeq, a predicted model, not a curated record
UGUCUUCACUGAAGAAACCACUCAAGAUGGCUUGGCAGGAGCCACGCUCUGUGCUAGGUGUUGGGCCUGGAUAGUGCACAGACAGUUGUCUUCCAUGAGCUAAGCAGCGAAGACAUGGUAUUUAAGACCAGCCAAAGCUGAGCUGACAUCAGUGCUACCAACAUUAUGCUCUUCCCUGGGUGUGGUGCACCAAGCCCUCCACAAGAAAGAGGACAGCCCUGCUUUGUUCAAGUGCCCAGAGACAAUGAGCACAUCAGUAGUCUUCACAGGAAUGCAGGCGAUUAGCCACGGAGCCCUUCUCUGUCUAGCAUCAGGCAUCAGACGCCCAGCUACACAGAGGCCAUUUGAAUGGAAGUGCAGAAUAAUCUUCAGAAGAAAAAGCAAGCUCACAUGAGUGGCAGCAGCCCAUUGUGCUGAGUUAAAGACGCUGGAGAGAGUCUGGUUGGCGGCGGGGAGGUGUGGUGUUAAUGACAAUGAUGGGGCUGUGGCUGGAGAGGUUAAUGUCAGUCUAACGGACCCUGUGUAAUUCGUAUUCCUUAUUACAUCCUAAUUAAAGACCCUUAACAUCUUAAAAU